This 72-nucleotide transfer RNA is filed under the name Puccinia triticina. Its description in RNAcentral is "tRNA-Ala". It matches the Rfam family "tRNA". From Rfam's summary of the family: Transfer RNA (tRNA) molecules are approximately 80 nucleotides in length. Their secondary structure includes four short double-helical elements and three loops (D, anti-codon, and T loops). The record is from RNAcentral. Lineage: Eukaryota; Fungi; Basidiomycota; Pucciniomycetes; Pucciniales; Pucciniaceae.
AGGGGGUUUAGUACAAUGGCAGUACGAAUUAUUUGCAGUAAUUAGAUUUGAGUUCGAUUCUCAAAAUCUCCA